CGACAUAAUUUUUAUUUCCAAAUAAUAAUUCUAGCAUGCUUUCCUUUAACGAUUUAAAACUCAUACUUGAGAAUAUAUCGACCAUGUAAUCCAAAUUUUUAUAAUGUAAUCCAGUUCCAGAAUAUGUACAUCCUCAAAUCUUAUUAAAGGAAAGAACUAUAGAACUACCGAAAGGCUGUUUGGCCACAUACAAAAAAGCGAUUGGAGCUCACUACAAAAGAUUGGUACAUUGUGAAGGCCAUCAUCCAAUAACAAUAUUUUAAGAUCCCAAAACUAACCCCGGGCAGAAUUAUACAGAGAUUGAAAAAGAGAAGACUAAGGGAGCACCAAAAUAAAUUGAACACAUCAACACAGCAUCAUAAAUUUCCUCAUUCGAUGCUGCCUGUCCUCAACAAAAA
This is a non-coding RNA of Arachis ipaensis, 398 nucleotides long. Lineage: Eukaryota; Viridiplantae; Streptophyta; Magnoliopsida; Fabales; Fabaceae. The record is from RefSeq and is a predicted model, not a curated record.